This 377-nucleotide ribosomal RNA is filed under the name uncultured eukaryote. Its description in RNAcentral is "partial 18S ribosomal RNA". It matches the Rfam family "Eukaryotic small subunit ribosomal RNA", at positions 592 to 976 of the family's 1831-position model. The record is from RNAcentral.
CAAUAGCGUAUAUUAAGGUUGUUGCAGUUAAAAAGCUCGUAGUUGGAUUUCGGGGCAGCCUGGCUGGUCCGCCGCAAGGCGAGUACUGGUCAGCCGCCCUUCCUCUCGAAAGCCCCGACUGCUCUUUAUUGCAGUGGUCGGGUAGUUCGGGACGUUUACUUUGAAAAAAUUAGAGUGUUCAAGGCAGGCCUACGCCUGAAUACAUUAGCAUGGAAUAAUGGAAGAGGACCUCGGUCCUAUUUUGUUGGUUUCCAGGACCGAAGUAAUGAUUAAGAGGGACAGUUGGGGGCAUUCGUAUUUAAUUGUCAGAGGUGAAAUUCUCGGAUUUAUGAAAGACGAACAACUGCGAAAGCAUUUGCCAAGGAUGUUUUCAUUAA